This 573-nucleotide ribosomal RNA is filed under the name Escherichia sp. RNAcentral's name for it is "bacterial SSU rRNA". It matches the Rfam family "Bacterial small subunit ribosomal RNA", at positions 168 to 736 of the family's 1533-position model. The record is from RNAcentral. Lineage: Bacteria; Pseudomonadati; Pseudomonadota; Gammaproteobacteria; Enterobacterales; Enterobacteriaceae.
ACCGCAUAACGUCGCAAGACCAAAGAGGGGGACCUUCGGGCCUCUUGCCAUCGGAUGUGCCCAGAUGGGAUUAGCUAGUAGGUGGGGUAACGGCUCACCAAGGCGACGAUCCCUAGCUGGUCUGAGAGGAUGACCAGCCACACUGGAACUGAGACACGGUCCAGACUCCUACGGGAGGCAGCAGUGGGGAAUAUUGCACAAUGGGCGCAAGCCUGAUGCAGCCAUGCCGCGUGUAUGAAGAAGGCCUUCGGGUUGUAAAGUACUUUCAGCGGGGAGGAAGGGAGUAAAGUUAAUACCUUUGCUCAUUGACGUUACCCGCAGAAGAAGCACCGGCUAACUCCGUGCCAGCAGCCGCGGUAAUACGGAGGGUGCAAGCGUUAAUCGGAAUUACUGGGCGUAAAGCGCACGCAGGCGGUUUGUUAAGUCAGAUGUGAAAUCCCCGGGCUCAACCUGGGAACUGCAUCUGAUACUGGCAAGCUUGAGUCUCGUAGAGGGGGGUAGAAUUCCAGGUGUAGCGGUGAAAUGCGUAGAGAUCUGGAGGAAUACCGGUGGCGAAGGCGGCCCCCUGGACGA